RNAcentral lists this ribosomal RNA (638 nucleotides) under Escherichia coli. Its description in RNAcentral is "partial 23S ribosomal RNA". It matches the Rfam family "Bacterial large subunit ribosomal RNA", at positions 1 to 672 of the family's 2925-position model. Lineage: Bacteria; Pseudomonadati; Pseudomonadota; Gammaproteobacteria; Enterobacterales; Enterobacteriaceae. The record is from RNAcentral.
GGGUUGUGAGGUUAAGCGACUAAGCGUACACGGUGGAUGCCCUGGCAGUCAGAGGCGAUGAAGGACGUGCUAAUCUGCGAUAAGCGUCGGUAAGGUGAUAUGAACCGUUAUAACCGGCGAUUUCCGAAUGGGGAAACCCAGUGUGUUUCGUCACACUAUCAUUAACUGAAUCCAUAGGUUAAUGAGGCGAACCGGGGGAACUGAAACAUCUAAGUACCCCGAGGAAAAGAAAUCAACCGAGAUUCCCCCAGUAGCGGCGAGCGAACGGGGAGCAGCCCAGAGCCUGAAUCAGUGUGUGUGUUAGUGGAAGCGUCUGGAAAGGCGCGCGAUACAGGGUGACAGCCCCGUACACAAAAAUGCACAUACUGUGAGCUCGAUGAGUAGGGCGGGACACGUGGUAUCCUGUCUGAAUAUGGGGGGACCAUCCUCCAAGGCUAAAUACUCCUGACUGACCGAUAGUGAACCAGUACCGUGAGGGAAAGGCGAAAAGAACCCCGGCGAGGGGAGUGAAAAAGAACCUGAAACCGUGUACGUACAAGCAGUGGGAGCCUCUUUUAUGGGGUGACUGCGUACCUUUUGUAUAAUGGGUCAGCGACUUAUAUUCUGUAGCAAGGUUAACCGAAUAGGGGAGCCGAAGG